Molecule: long non-coding RNA, 1047 nt
Organism: Lagenorhynchus albirostris (white-beaked dolphin)
Lineage: Eukaryota; Metazoa; Chordata; Mammalia; Artiodactyla; Delphinidae
Exons: 3
Source: RefSeq, a predicted model, not a curated record
GGCGAGGAGCCGCGGAGCUUGGCGUGGGCUCCGGCGCAGGCCCGGGUCGGGCGCUCAGCAGCCGCCGUGUGCUCAGACGCCACUCGGUCGCAGCGACAUCCGCAGCCGCCGCCGCUUCCUCCUCCCCGCCCCUCCCCCCACGUCCCUCCGCCGGCGCCGCGCGGGGCACGCCGGGUAACGUGGCUGGCGACGUCGCCGAGUCAUGCCUGCCUGCUGCCGCUUGGAGCUGUGGCCGGUUUUCUUUCCCUCUCCCAUUCCAUUGCAAAGCGUAGGCGCGUUCAGAGAGAAGGACUAAAAACAAAGUGGGGCGGAAGAGAUAAAGCUUUCUCUGUUGAAAUUGAGACAUUGGCCUAGAAGUGACAGAUUAAGCCCACAGAACUGGAUAUAUCAAUCAAUGAAAAAAAAUCAGCAGGAAAAACAAAGUCAUGAGUGCAGUACUCCAGAGAAUACCCAACACAAAACAGGAUAAUCUAUGUGCUCAGAAUUUUAUGAACAUCAUCUUCCAGUCUAUUGAAGAAUCCUCCAUCAUGUGAUAAAGUCUGAGAAGAACUCAAUUCCUGUCAAAAAUGAAUUAAGAUUUACUAUCAAUCAACACAAAAGUGCAUGCAUGCAUUUAAUAAACCUGGUCAGCCACUAGAAGGAUAGAGAAUGAAAAAAAAAUAACAUAGAGACAAUCAACCAUCUGAUUCUUCUCUAUCUCCAGAAGAUAACCAGUAGAGAUACAUUUGCAAAUGUCCUUUUCUUUACUUCAUAUUUUUUGAGUUGGGUAUUGCUUGAUUUUUAAAUUAUUUUUUAUCCAUGUACCAUACAAUUUACCCAUUUAAUUUGCACAUUUAAAUGUUUUUAAUAUAUUCACAGAGUUGUACAACCAUAACCCAUUUAUAAAGUUACAUCAAGCCCAAAAAGAAACCCAGAACUUAUUAGCAUCAUUUCCCAUUCCCUCCUGAUCCCUCCCCUCAGCUGUUCCCUAGGCAACACUAAUUACUUUCUGUCUGUAUAGAUUUGGCUAUUCUGGACAUCUGAUAUAAAUGGAAUCAUACCGUAUAA